Molecule: long non-coding RNA, 3852 nt
Organism: Cyclopterus lumpus (lumpfish)
Lineage: Eukaryota; Metazoa; Chordata; Actinopteri; Perciformes; Cyclopteridae
Exons: 3
Source: RefSeq, a predicted model, not a curated record
UUCUACACAAAAAUCACUGUUCAAAGAAGAAAACCAACAAAACAUGAAUUUCACACAAAAACAUAACUCAAUGAAUAUUACUGCAAAUCAAUGUGACUUUUGCUGUUGCCUUUCAGAGACGAGUUCUGAAAUGCGCGGCUUCACCUUGGCAAGUGCCACUCUCAUGUCAUUUUCACAACAAAGUCUGUUCCUUUUCUUAGUUUUCAUGUCCUCGAAAAGGAUUGCUCGCAAAGAUACGUUGUAACAAACGGUGUGAGUAUCUCGAGGGCUUUCUUGGCAAUAAGAGGGUAUGAUACGAUUUGGUGACACCAAAACGUUGAGAGCGUUGCUGUUCUGAAGAGUUGCUGUUGAAGCUGGUUCUGCUGAAGUUCAAUGAUUUCAUCGAGUUAUUCAUCUUUGACAUCUGCUGUCGCAACACUAAACGUGAACGGCUGUCUCACCCAUGUUGGAUGUGACUCUCUGGUAGGGAAGUAUCCGUCGAGAGACUUUGCGAGCUCAUCUAAGUGCACGGCAAUUGCUUGCUUCAGCUCCUCAGGUACAGAAACGUCUCCAAUUCCAGACACGUCUUCGAUCUUACUCACACAGUCGUCCAGCAGGGGAAAGUUUGCGGCGUUAUCAUUCUCUUUUCGUCGUUUCCAUUAAGGUAGCUUUUUAAUUUUUUUAAACGCCUUCAGGUUUUUCUUCUGCUUCGAUGAUGUUGACUCCACCGCCCCUGCAUCUGGCGAUCGAGAUAAUUGAGAGCAUCGAAAAUAUCGGCCAUGUACGCCAAAAUGAGAAUGAACUCAGAAUUUUCGAAGCAAUCUGCGUGACAAUGUUGGUAUUCUCGCCAAAAAUUCCACACACAUGGCAAAAACACGAUUCAGCACCUUUUCCCGGGAUAACCACCGAACGUUAGAAUGGUACAGAAGUACCUCGAAUUCAGAGCCCAUUUCCUUACACAGCUCUUUGAAGAUGCGGUGCUUCAUAGCACUAUUUUCGCACGUAGUUCACACAUUCAACUACAAUUUUUAAUACUUCUGCAAGGUUUUCGUUGCCAACUCAUGCCUGUGAAGAACACAGUGCGUAACAAUGAUGUGUGGUGCAUCAGAUUUCACCAGAGCUCCAAAACCAGAGUGUCGUCCCAGCAUGGCUGGAGCUCCGUCCGAACAAACUGCAGAAACCAUAUUCCACGAAAGAUCGUUGUCUCUGAAGAAGUCAUCCACGAGUUUCUUCACAUCGACUGCCUUGGUUGUUGUUGUAAUCCAAAAUCUUCCUUUAUCUCGUUGUCUUUCAUAUAGCGCACAAAUACAACAAGCUGGCUUAGAUUGGAAACAUCGGUGGUCUCAAGUCAAGUUGGAGGCUGAAUUUUGCUGGGCUUGAAAUCAGAUCUGCAACUACUUGAGCGAAGAUGUCAUCGCUCAUGUCGUCUAUUCUGCUGCUGAUAGUGUCAUUUGAAAGAGGAAUUUGGGAUAACUUAUCUUCAGCAGCUGUUCCCAGCAUGAUAUUCGCCAUCUUCAACGCAGCUGGUUUUUCACCAAUGGUGUGUGGUUUGCCCUGCUUUGCGAUCAGGGUACGCAACUUCGUACGAUGCUAUGAGGAUCGGUUUGUUGACAGGCGAAUCUUUCGCUUCGCUCUAUUUAUUCCAUUCACGUCUGUGCAUUGACUUGGCAAUUUUUUUGGUGUGAACGCAGCAUAACACAGCGAAGAAAAAUGGCGUGUUGCUAAAAUGUCGGCAGAUCAUUUUUUGACGACCGACAAACAACGACACGAAAAUUGCUAGCGUGAACCUGGCUAUACUGUGUGUGUCUUGACCCUUGCCGAACCCCUGAGAGUGACUCGCCGAACCCACCUUAAGAACCACUAGUCUAGAUGAAGAACAGACUGAGAGAUAUGAGAUUGGAUCUCACAGUUUCUAACUGGGAGAGGAACUCAACAUAUUUAACACAGAAAGAAAACGUGGCAAAGUAAUGCCUGUCCGUGCAAGGCCAGGCCGUGCUACAGACACUAAUUACUAAUAAUACUACUUAAUAAAACAACAUCCUUAUCACUAAACCUUGAUAACAAAUGUAUGGUUUUCUGCAGCAUUCACGUGCAAACUUUAAUGCAAAGUAAUAAACUAUUCUCAGAAUUUGACAUUUACAUAAAACAGAGAAGCAGUAAACGAUCACGAGAAACUGAGUGUUUGGCAUUUUUGCUUGAAACAUUAUUAAUUAUGUCAGUCGACUUUUGGCGGUAUUUUAGCUCUCAAAUUCAAUAUUUAUAAAAUGUAAAAGAUAUGCUUAAAACACGUCAAAGAACGCACCGCUUUGCAAACGAUGACGCAAGCUGCUCGUCUUUCCUUCUGAGGUUGCGAACUUUCCGACUGCACAUGAAGGCAGCGCGGCGUCCGACUGGAUGCGAACACAGACCGCCACAAAUGGACGUCCGCGAGUGCGUGUUAUCGGCGGGCCGAGCCGUGCUGGACGUCGUGGAGCGAGAGUGGCAGCCCCUGUCUCCGGGCGAGCUGGAGCAGCGGCUGGACCAGGCGGUGGAGGAGAUCCUGGAGGCGGAUCUGAUGGCUCCACAUAAAGCUCGGCCUCCGCCCGCGAGCGGCGUUCAGCUGCUGCCGAGUCGAGCGAGCGCGGAGCCCCAAGUUUUACCGACGGAAACGUGCUUCAGUCCCCCGGAGGAAGAGGACGCCGGAGCCCCGAGAACCGAUGGAGACCGUUGACGGUGCAGCAGUCAAGUACAUCACAGAUCUGCUUCAAAACUCUGAGUCCAGGGCUCGGAUGGCCGGACGGGCCCGCUUGUCCCUGUCCCACACCGUCCAGCUGUCCCUCACUCUGCUCUCUGAGCGCGUCAGCUACGCUCUGUAUCCCGCCGCUUCCACCUGGAGAAAGGAAACAUCCACAGGAUCUUCUUUUCUUUCUGCGAGCGCCUCAACAUGCUGCAAGAGAAGCAAAUCCGGUGGCCAGUCGGCGGGGAGGCUGUGAAGCCCUCUUUCCACUUUGCGGCCCAGAGAAGGAGCAGCAAGGUGUCCCUCGGGUCCUGGGAGUGUUGGGACACACGCGCAUCCCGAAUCCGCCUGCCAAUAGGGAAGCAUGACGUGGAGAGCACGGUGCCUGAAGUGAAGAGGAUGAAGAAGGAGGCCCAUCCCGACUCCUGGCUGAACCUGCAGCUCGCAUGCGACCGUAAAGGCCGGUUCCUCCACUGCAGAACCGGUAGAGGCCUCAGACAUGGACAGAGGCAGCGCUCUGAGGGACAAACCUCGAGCAGCAGCCUGAACUGAUGCCCUCUGGCUCCUGCCUCGUGGCCAGAGCCGGCUACCCGCUCACUGCUCAGAUUUUAACUCCAUACUCGAGAAGUAUCGGACCGAGAGAGGAGCUCUUCAACGAGAUGCUCGAGGAGCAUUUUCACAUCUUGGACCAGGCUGUUGCCAACCUGAAAGCCCGAUUUAAAAGGCUCCGGUAUCUGGAUAUCGGAAACUACGAGCGAGCGAGAGCUGUUGUGCUGACCACCUGUGUCUUGCACAACAUGUUUUUAGACUUGGGACAGGUCGUUCAGGGGGACAUUGAGAAAGAGGAAGCCACAACCCGAGAGGGGGAGUUGGAGAUGGAUGACGAGGGUGUACGCAGACGAGACACCAUCUCAGAUUUGUUGUUUAAAAUGUUUGAAUCUGGAAGCGUGUGAUGUGACGAUGUCUGCUGGGAAAUGGCUCUUUUAUAUAAAAGUUCAUCUUCACAGAAUCUCUAUUUUCUGGGUCUCUCAUUACGACUGUCGGAUAACGGAUAGGUUUGCUUUUGAAGCAUUGUUAUUACUGUAAUUAACCAUCAUGGAGAUGACAAAUGAUGGUAUUUGACUAAGAGAAAUAGAACAUUAUCACCCCUUGUUACA